This 26670-nucleotide long non-coding RNA is filed under the name Lathyrus oleraceus (garden pea). RNAcentral describes it as "Pisum sativum (pea) long non-coding RNA (PSAT_LNC041908)". Lineage: Eukaryota; Viridiplantae; Streptophyta; Magnoliopsida; Fabales; Fabaceae. The record is from RNAcentral.
UUGAAAUGGAAAAGACAUUUUAUUAAAAAUUAAGAAACCUCAAAGUAUUGGCAGAAACUGAUUACAACAGAUUAACCUUGUGAACUUUAGUUCUCCAUGAAAUCGUCUAACCAAUAUUAUAUCAUGAAAAUUCAGAAUAGGGUUAUUGUAGCAGUGAAAAUCCUUAUAAAACAAAAGGGAAAUUCGGGCCCUUAUGGGAUCUGACCCGAAAAUUACAAAAACCGGUCCAAACUGACUAUUUUAAUUAAGUCUGAAACAUUAACGAAUUAUUCAUUCCUCAUUCACUAUGAAUCUGCUCUUGACUUCAACAUGAAACUUAUAGUUCUUUCUCUUAGCUUUCCAACGCAUAUUAGAACAUGUGAAUACGAUUACCGUAACUCAAGUUAUGGUCUGCAUAAUGACAAUAAUUGUUUAUUCUGUUUAUUCCAAAUAAAGUAGGAAAAUAAAAUAAAGCCAAAAAUAACAAUUUAAACUUAAAUAUAAAGUAUGAAAAUAAAAUAAAGCUAAAAAUAAACUUAAAUAAAGAAACACGCUAAAAUAGUAAAAAUGAUAGAAUAAACUAUAGAGUUGUCUAAGUACAAUAGUAGAAGAAUGUGAAUCAAAAUUCGCUUAUCAAAUUCCCCCACACUUGAACUUUUGCACUUCGAGCAAAAUUAUAAAUGCAAAACUCAAAACAGAAAAAAAGAGAGCAAAACAAAACAUGUAAUUCCAAAGGUUCCCAGGAUACAAAGUGCAAACAAAAUUCUAAGUCUAAGUUUAAAAAAAAUGCCCUUAGUAAGUAACUCUUUUGUGACAUUCAAAACAAAUAUGAAAAACAAAUUACCAAAAAAUACAUCAAAAUCAACAAGAUCCUCACAAUAUAAAAUUCACUCAACUCUCAAGUGUUUAAGUUAAUUGUUUGCACUCAAAACAUUUCAUGAAAGUUAACACUAACAUAAGCUUGAAAAUACUCUAACAUCCACAAUUGAAUCAAAUGCACACAAAGAUCAAAAGGACUUUUAUUAUGUUGUAACUUGACCAGAGUAUGGGUGAGAUAAAUCCUAAGAGGUACUAGGCUAAAAUUCAAAGGGAGAAAAGACACAUGAAAGAACUCCCGGAAGUUGAACUACAUCAUUCACUUUCAAACAACAACUUUUAUGCUAUUUUUCUUCUCUUUUAUCAUUUUAUUCUCUUUUUUUCUUUUUCAGAAGGAAUAUGUAGUGACAUCCUUCUUUGUUUUUUCCAUUUUUUUUCUAUUUUUCUUCUUCUUUUUCUUCAUAUAUAUAUAUAUAUAUAUAUAUAUAUAUAUAUAUAUAUAUAUAUAUAUAUAUAUAUAUAUAUAUAUAUAUAUAUAUAUAUAUAUAUAUAUAUAUAUAUAUAUAUAUAUAUAUAUAUAUAUAUAUAUAUAUAUAUAUAUNNNNNNNNNNNNNNNNNNNNNNNNNNNNNNNNNNNNNNNNNNNNNNNNNNNNNNNNNNNNNNNNNNNNNNNNNNNNNNNNNNNNNNNNNNNNNNNNNNNNNNNNNNNNNNNNNNNNNNNNNNNNNNNNNNNNNNNNNNNNNNNNNNNNNNNNNNNNNNNNNNNNNNNNNNNNNNNNNNNNNNNNNNNNNNNNNNNNNNNNNNNNNNNNNNNNNNNNNNNUAACUCUUUUGUGUCAUUCAAAGCAAAUACGAAAAAUAGAUUACCAAAGAGUACAUCAAAAGUAGCAAGAUCCUCACAAGAUAAAAUUCACUCAACUCUCAAGUGUUUAGGUUGACUGUUUACACUUAAAUCAUAACAUCCAUAAUUGAAUUACAUGUAGACAAAGAUCAAAAUGACUUUUAUUAGGUUGUAACUUGGUCAGGGUAAAUCCUAAGGUAAACUAGGAUAAGAUUCAAAGGGAGAAAAGAGACAUGAAAGAACUUGCGGGAAUUGAAAUAUUUUCAUCUACUUUCAAACGACAACUUUUCAGCUAUUUUUCUUCUUUUUAUUUUCUUUUUAUGAAGGAAUAUGUAAUGACAUCCUUCUUCUAUUUUUCUAUUUUUUCCUGCCAACUUUUGAAUGAAAUAUCACAAUUAUAGUUAUUCAACCCUACACAACUCCAAACAAGACUCUUUCGACCCUAUAAAUGCGUGAUAAUAUUAUUUUCCAUUUUCAGGCUUGUAAUGAGUUUAAACAAAGAAUUGAAUAAUAUACUCAAAAGGUUUUCAAACAAGGGACAAUAUUAUUUAGGGUUGGAUUUUUGGCUAAGUGGCUAAAAGUAAAACAAAACAAGUUAUCUUUAUCAUAUCAGUGUGCACAAGUAAUCAAUAGUUUCAAAAAGAGGUAAUUCAAGUUCUAUAUACUAACAGACAUGAGUGAAAUCACACAAGGUUAAUUGAUCUACCACAAAUGAUGUACAAUUUAAAGUUUAGUCCUACAUAUCAUACUAAGAAUGCAAAAAAAGAAUCAAUCACAUCACACCAUAAUUCUUUAAUCAAGAGAACAAAGAAAAUACUCACAAUUGUAACUCAAAAAUCACAGAAAAAACAUGCAUUUUUUCAUGUAAGAAAACAAAUAAAAACAAAGAAACUGAAUGAAAUAAAAUAAAGUAAAUGGUUCCCUCCCCUACAUUUAAAACAUACAUUAUCCUCAAUGAAAGAACAUAAAUAUAAAAUAAGAGUGAGAGAAAGGAAAGAACACACCCGAAGAGUCAAUGCGGAUAAAUGAUCACAUAUGCAGCCUUUCCCAAAGAGAACUCUUCUACGGUCUCUUUUUUCAAAGUGGGGCUCUCAUGGAGUAUCUUUAAGUAGUGUCCAUUGACCUUGAAAUUUUGAUUAGUGCCUUCGCAUUGUAUUCCAUGAUCAAAGAAUGAUCUUCAAUAAGUAAAAGUGUUGAAUGGGCACGUGAAAGUGAUCUCCUUUUUCACAAUAUUAAGAAUUAAAGGAUUACGGGAUUGUCACUACAACAAAAAUGAGUUUAGACAACAAAGGAUAACCGCGGUAUAAACUAAUAAAACCGUUGCCUAAACGUUUAAACUACGGUUUUCCAGGCGUGGAAUAAAUAGCUGUUGCUUAUAACCAUAGAGAACGGUUUUUUAACUUUAGCCUACGCUAAUACAAAGACGUCGCCUAAAAGAUCUGAGUAAGCCACUGUUUAGAGAGUAACUUUAUACUGCGGUUUAUUUCUAGCCACACAUUUUAACUGUUGCCUUAUGGUUAAGCUACAGUUUUAGAUUUAAGCCACUCUUUAUUUGGCCUCGGUUGUAAAACCGUGGUAGUAGAAUACUAUUUAAAGAAAGUUAGAUAUAAUCUUAUUUAAUCAUCAUUGUCUAGAUUUAUUUCACCCAAAAGGUAUGAGGUAUGCCAGACAAAACAAGAAUCUACUAAAUUAAAUCAUAAUAAUUUUAUAAAAUAACUAUAAAUAUAUUUUUAAUUUACUUCAAAAAGUUGUUGCAACCAACAAUAAUCUAAAAAAAUAUUGAUAAAUAAAUUUUAAAAAUAAAAGAUAAAAAGAAGACAAAAUAUAAUCAUUACAAGGUGUCUCACUUAACUAUUACUCUUACAUUUGUUUAAAAGAAAACAUAUUAGCUCAAAAUUAUUAAAUAUUUAGAGUAACUAGAAAUAAAUGCUAUACCAUAAAAAUCAUGAUAAAAUUAAAAGCAUGAUAACUUUUUAUUUAAAACAGAAUUAUUUGAUUAUGAUUUUUUUUUAAAUAUAAUAAAUUAUACUAGAAGUGUAUUUUAUUUUGUACAUAUGUACAACAAUCGAGUUUUUUUUUAAUAUCCGGUUUUUUUAAAAAAAAUUCAAAAAUAAACAUUUUUUCAAAAAAAUUACAAAAAUGGGCAAUUUUUGCCCUAAUUUUGUACAUGGGCACCACCCUAGUUGGCGCCUAUCCUUAAAGGGUAGGGCAAGUCGCCACUAGGAGUGGCGCCUACACUCUUUUUCCUUUUUUUUUUUACAGAGAGAGAUUAUACCUGCAAGAUUCCUUAGCAAGACAAGACAAGUGCCCCGGUAGUCUGGGCACGCAAUGCAUGCCAACCUAGCCGCCACUAGCCUGGCACCUAUUCUGGCAGAAUUCGCCACACGCAUGCCUUCCACGUGUCACAACGCUUGCAUCAUCAGAUUCACCAAAUCUCUCCAAGACAAAGACAAGUGACAACCUAGUCUGGCACGCAAUGCAUGCGACUAACCCUCACUACCACCUAGCCUGCAAUCCUAUUCUGCAAGAUUCUCAACGCAUGCCUUCCAACGUGUCACACCUUUGCAUCAUUAGAUUCACAAGUCUUCUCGCAAGACAAGAAAGUGCAAAUCGCUAGUCUGGGGCACCAUGCAUGGCCAACACUCCCACUAGCCUGGCACCUAUUCUGCAAGAUUCUGCACGCAUGCCUUCCAGUGUUCACAACCUUUGGCAUCAUCAGAUUCCACCAAGGUCUUCCCCAUGACAAGCAAGUGCAACACUAGUCUGCACCAAUGCAUGCCAACGACUACCACCUAGGCCUGGCACGCUAUUCUGGCAAUGAUUCCCGCACGGCUGCCUUAUAGCACGUUCACACCUUUUGAAUCAUCAGAUUCCACCUAGUCUGUACCAAUGCAUGGCCAACUAUCCACCUAGCCUCCACCUAGUCUGAACUUAGUCUCAGAGAUUACGCAUGCCUUACAACUUGUCACACCUUUGUAUGCUACUAAAACAACUCUCCCUAGUCUGUUAGCCAAUGCAUGCUAAGCACUACCACUAGCCUCCAGCCUAGUCUGAACUUAAGUCUCAGAGAUCCCGACGCAUGCCUUAGCACUUUGUCACAUUUUUGGGCAUCAAUAGAUUCCACAGGUCUUCCCGCAACAGACAAGACAAGUCGGCGCACCUAGUCUGCACCAAUGGCAUGCCAACACUACGCCACUAGUCUGGCACGCGUAUUCUGCAAGAAUCCCACGCUGCCUUCGCACUUGUCCAAGCUUUGCAUAUUGCAGUCUAUUGAAACGAGUCAUAAAUAGAGGUCAUUCUUGGGGCCCAGUUUUUCAUCAACCACUAACACUUUUAUUAGAGAAACUCGCGGCGAACUUCUCAUCCACCAAGCUUCGUUCUACAUUGGCAGUCAUGUCUCUUCUUACGCAUGGGCAAGAAGCACAAAGGCACUUAAGGGCAAACAUUGCCUCAUUCGUAAGUUUUUCUUGAACAUUGGCCUGCUUUCGUAUUGUUUGGUAAUUUGUUUUUUUAAAAGUCCCAUCUAAUGAUUGUUAUAUUGUUUGUUUUUAAAGGAUCCAAGAAAUUUCGUCACGUUCACGACCGCCUAUGCCUUAUCCAGACCCAUGGUGCGUACCUUAGCAUAAGAGCGGGCGGUGUUUCGUCAUGUUAGGAGCAUGUCGUAAAUGCCAACAAUUGAUGUUCAAAUUCAUUUUGGCUCUGUGUGAACGUUAGAUGACCUGAGACAGCACACACUUAUAUGUCACCUACCAAUGGUGACUGUACGUCACAUAUAGAGGAGUGGUACAUGUCUUUGGGUCUUAGAAAUAGAUGGUAGCCUGUGAGCUGACAGCCUAACCAAAUAGGUUCUAAAAUGUUGGGGGUAGAUCUGGUCGAGGGUGAGGGAUCUGCCAAAGCAAGGGGUCAGGGUAUUAAAUUAUCUAGCUACAAUUGUACCACGACUCCAUAACUUUGACUGAGGAAUCCUCCGAACAAGAAAAAGUCAUAAAAACUCGGGUUUAACUUAUGCUAUUGUUUGGGAACUUGCUAUCCCGAAGGGACGGGAAAUAGCAUAACUUUAUGUACUUGAGUUUGCUCGGGGACAUUGAUAGAAUAAGCACAUAUAGUUGGGGUUCUGCUGUAUUAGCAUUCCUAUAUAGCUCUUUGUGCAAAAAUGCCAAAAUGAGCACUGUACAUUUUCUGGAUGUGCUUUUUUGCUCCAAACUGGGGUGGAGGAGAUUGCCGGAGGCUAGCCCCAGAAAAUCUAAUGUCUACUCUCUUCCCCUACGCAUCUAGGUAAAUUUAUGAUGUUAUUUCAUUUGUUAUUUUUCUAUAAAUAUUUGUAAAUAAUAUUAUUUAUCUUUUUUGUUUAGGUUCAUUACAACCGGACGGAUUACAGUCUUACCCCCAAUAAAAUUAUAUUUUAUCGUCACUCUUGGAUCGUCUCCGAGCACAAGAUGUAUUACCACUAUCACUCAGCUUCUAACUGAUUUAUUAAUAUCAUGCAUUCUCGAUAAUAACAUAUUUGCUUUUUUCUUUGCCAGUUUAUUUGGAGGCCAUAUUUGGGAUUGGAACAUCAAGCCCAACCCAAAGAUGGCAGCUGUUUGGACAGCAAAAACGGCCAUAAUGCGGUUCACUGCACUGUAGAGAUGCACCAAAGUGACCGUGUCAAGCUGCAAUUCGGAAUGCAUCAAGAAAUCCCAGGCCCCCAAUGUCUAUGGAACCUUGGCAUCUAAAAAAAGUCAGCCAACCAGUGGUAUGCCCAAAUUGGAAGGAUUUGGCUAAGGAGUUUCGUAAAAUGUGGAAAGACCGUGCCACUAUGUUCUACAAUUUCCAGUGGCGCCCAACGAAAUGAAGCCGACAAGGGAAUAUGUGGAUUGGUAUAUAGGCAAAUACAAAUCCAGAAAUGAUUGUGUCUGACCCGUUCUAAUUUGGACGAUCCCCGGAUGCAACAGCCAUAUUUCCAAAACACAACCACCACAAUAUUCCCACAACAACAACCACCACCUUAUUACCAACAACAACCACCACCACCAUUUUACCAACAACAACCACCACGCACUAUUACAACAACAACCACCACCACCAUAUUACCAACAAAACACCACAACACAUGUCCACCCACACCAAAUCAACAAUACAUACCACAAACUCAACCCCAAACAUGAAGACUACCAAACACAAACUCAACAUUCCACCCCAUCAACAGUCCACACCUACCACAAUAUCAAUCCCCCACUUCCACCAAUCCCAACACUUCCAUCACGACAAUGUCCCGAGCUCUUCCAGUCCUCCACCUAGCCCCGACACGGGUAAUCCAAGAGGACUACAAACAAGACUACUACACACCACAACAAUGAUUGUUCUUUGGGCAACCCGAUUCAACCCUAAACUACCAAAGACCACAAUUCGAGGGCGCACCAGCAGUAGUCAGUUUGUUGCCACCGAGAGCAAAAAAGCUUUGAGGGCGCAGAGGGGACCCGUCUUUCCUACUAAGCACUGAAGGGACUCGACCCAACCAACCGGCAAACGGCAAGGGGACGCGUUAGGACUAAGGGGUGGUAAUAGGGAAGCACCACCACCACGUGAACCGUCUGGCGAGUAAUUAGACCUCCCCGUGCGGAUCGUACCAGGGACCGAUCAUAUGUGAUUAUCAUAUCUUUGUAAUAUUUGUCUGUCUAUUAUUUAAAUAAAUAUUUUCUGUUUAUUAUUCUUUUUAUUCUUUAUCUUUAUCUUUAAAGUAUUGUCUAUCAUAUAUAUGUAUAAGUAUAUAUAUAUAUAUAUUAUAAUAUAUAUAUAUAUAUAUAUAUAUAUUAUAUAUAUAUAUUAUAUAUUAUUAUAUAUUAUAUAAUAUUAUAUAUAUAUAUAUAUAUAUAUAAUAUAUAUAUAUUAUUAAUUACAUGUGUAUAAAUAUUUAUUUACACGUAUAUAAAUUAUUUUUUUCCAAAAAUUUACAAAUAAUAUUAUUACUUAUAAAUUAAUUAAUAUAAUAUAUAUAUAUAUAUAUAUAAAAAUUAUAUAUAUUAUAAUAUAUAUAUAUAUAUAUUAUAUAUAUAUAUAUAUAUAUAAUCUUGUAAAUAAUUUUAUUUAUAUAUGUGUUAAUAAUAAAUUAAUAUAAUUUAUAAAAUAAUAAAUUUAUAAAUUAAAAAAAUUAAAAAAUAAUAAAAAAACAUAUUACAAAAAAAAAAAAAGGGAAAUGGGUGUAGGGCGNNNNNNNNNNNNNNNNNNNNNNNNNUUUUUGAAUCAUGUUUUCUUUUUUUUUAAUUUUUUAAUUUAUGAAUUUAAUUUAUUAUAAAUUAUAUAAUUUAUAUUAAUACAUAUAUAUAAUAAAAUUAUUUACAAGAUUAAUAUAUAUAUAUAUAUAUAUAAUAUAUAUAUAUAUAUAUAUAUAUAUAUUAUAUAUAUAUAUAUUAAUUUAUAUUAUAUUAAUUAAAUUUAUAAGUAUAAUAUUAUUUAUAAUUUUGGAAAUAGGGUUAAUCUGUUAAGGUUAUUUAUGAAGUGCGACGCUAAUUAGGGUUAAGUAGAUUGGUGUACAACCAGAUUUUCCUAUAAAUAAGUGUUAUUUCUUGCAUUUUCUUCACCACUAUUUCCUAUCCCUUUCUCUAUCAGUGAGUUCAUGGCAUCCAAGACCGCGUCAUGGCAGCGGAACAUCAUCAAGGCCCCGGAUCCUGAACAAGUAAUCUUAAAAGGGAUGGGCAUGUUAUUUCUUGCCUUUGAAACCCCAAUGGAGAUGAAAUUUUGGAACAUCCGUUCGUUGACAACUAAAAAGGUCCUUGAUGUCUUGGUUAGAGGGGAUUACCAACCUGGUGAGUCAUCAGAAGGAUUCAGAGCUUAGAACAAGGUUCUCAUUUGAAACUGGAGAAACGAUACGUUGGUGGGUUGAAGUUGAAGCGACAUUGAUUGCAUCAAAUGAUGCAUGGAUCAGACGACAUAGUGUUAACUGUUGUAAUUUCUUAGACUUUAAUGUUGUUUGUCAUGUUGUUGUUGUAUUUUUAUUGUUCUAGUACUUGUUCUUGUUUAGUACUUGUUUUUGUUCUAGUAUUUGUUUGUUUAGUAAUUGGUGUUGUAAUGUUAGAUGUUUGUGUUUGUUGUUCAAGUGUCAUCUUCUAUUUGGAAUAAAAGUAACUUUAAUGAUAAUAGCAUUGGUACACAGAUUAUGAAUAGAAAACUAAGUUGUGGAACUAGAUCCGAUAUGGACAUUUGUUCUUAUUAUGCCCUAGUUGUCUACAUAUGCUACACUUCCUCUGCAUUUUCUCUGCGACUUCCAUUUCGUUCUAAUGCCUCUGGCUAUUUGGGCGACCACUUUUAUUCGCCGCAUCGAUUCGUUUGUCAAAGCAAUUUCCCCGUCAUACUCUGGCCAAUACGCCUCAAUCUACCACCGCAAGGAUUGUGAUACAUUGAGCGAAUGUUGCACAUUUUAUUUUUGGUUUUUUUGAGUGGGAGACACUAGCGAUAAUGCAUCGAAGUGAGACUGUGUGAACACGCUGCAAUUCAUGGGCACAAGGCAUCCGAAGGCCGAAAUUGACAACAGUCGCAACCAACGGUCUGGUAUUAGGACCUAUACUCUUAUCUGGGCAGCCCUUGUUGUGGUCAAUUGUUUCCUUGACACUAAAAGUGGGCCAUGGCGGUCGAAUUCCUGUAACCGAUGGCUACUGGCUUUGGCAGAUUCCUGCCUCAUAACUCAUGCAGGCAUCACUAUAUACUUGACUCGUCUGCAACACUUCAUGCAGCGCCUGCCUCUUGUUACGAACAACGUUCAUCCGAAAAUAGGGUCGCACUCACCAAUGGUUACCGGGAGUUACGAUCCCUUAAAGGCCAUUCAUUGAUUCCGCAAUAUGUUGUUCAUGUGGCCACCUCACCCCAUCUGUCGUAUGAAUUCUCCACUUCGCUCUGGUCGUAUUAUCGAUCAGCACCUCCCUGAUCAGAUUUCCAACACUAUUUCCCUCGAUUGCGGUAUAUUGGAAUCCAGGUUGUUUAAAUGCAUACCCGCGUUUAAUAAUGUUGCUUCAAAAGUUAUCUUGAACUCGCCGCCUAUAAAAUUUUGAGCAAUAUGCCUGAUGCAUAGACAUGGGUAGACGGGGGGUCAUAGCAACCAUUGCUGGAUUUUGUAUGCACUGGUUAUGAGUGCCUGUCAAAUACCACAGAUCCAAGCUUGUGGAGUCAGUGCGUUCGGAGAUCUUAAGGAAGAAACUCCAAGCAGCAGCCGUUUCUUCCUUCUACCAAUGCAAAGGCUAUGGAAAAUAUAGAAUUUCCAUCUUGUCGACCGCCAUCCAGUAACGAUCCUUGUUUUCCGCAUAAGCAAGUCCUCGCUUGAAAAGGUGGUUUGGCAGAAUGUACGAUGAUGCACGACGAUGCCAGAAAAGGUCUAUGGAAUUUCCAUUACCGUCUAGACAGUUCCGUCAGAGAUUGUGUCUGGCAAGGUCUCCAUUAUAGAAAUCGUCCCAGGAAUACAAUCGUAGCUGCAGCCAGGUAGCGUGGUAGUGUUUGUAUGACUCCUCCCAAGUUACCGUAUACCAGUUCAAUUGCCGUGGUUUUUCGCUAACCAAGCCUUUUUGUAUGACGGUCGUAUAUUUGAAACAGCCAGCAAUGGGAUUAAUUUUUUACCCUUCAGUGACGGGUCAGGCCUCAACUAGGUAAUAUGCGAAGUGGCAGACAUAUCAUGGCUAAGUUGCGAGGAUCCUGGCCAUGUUGGUGUGACGCAAUGUGAGCUUGAGAAAUGGACCCUAUCCCCAUGCAUUAUGUUUUCUUCUUGUAGAUGCCUAUCAACACUAUACCCACACUCCGGAUUUUUGCAUACAAUAACGUAUCUUCUCCGGAUUUGAUGUUGAAACAUCGUAGUCAACACAGUUUUCACAGUGCGCAGUUCUUUAUUGCUAACAGACACUCUUCCUUGGUCACGAAGUUGGUCACCCUUCUUAAGUCUCAUCAGACCUCAAUAUAUGGGUUGAGAACAAUUCUGAUGAUGGCGGAGGGGCCAUCCUCGCCAAGUUAGUGUUGUGAAGUGCGCAAGGGGUAGUAGCGUGCGCUAUAGAGUAUUGCACUUGGUCUCGUCUUCAGAAUCACGGUCACCAAGUCACACGUCCGCCACAUCAUCAACCACAUCGUCUUCACGUGGUGCUCAACUCUUGUUCUCAUCAAUCACAGGAUCAAAUACCUGUGACUGAUAUUCUGAGUUGGUUGAAUUGUUCCAACACAAUGUACAACACUAUGUAUCGUAACCAGAAUACUCAUGUUACGAAACAUGUAUUUGUCUCCAGUUCAUUGAUCAUGACUUAAAAACUUGACAGAGUUUCGAAAAAAAGGUGUUGGAUAAUAAAUUGGGGACACGGGUGGGGUCGUUGUUUAUUUGACUCAAUCUUUUCUCAAUAAGAGAUCAGCUCUUAUUUAGAUCAAAAAACGAGUGCAUUCGGUGUUUCUAAUAGGAAGCCAGACAUAUCAAUUCAUAAGUCUCCCAUGACGCUCGUAGCUUGAUUUGAUUUGUAUGGUGAAGAUGCCAUUGUUUGUGAAGGUUUUGUGAAGAUAUUGUUGAGUUUGUGAAGAUAUUGUAGGUUUUGUGAAGUUGUGAUGAAUAUUGUGAAGGUUUUGUGAAGGUUUGCUGUUUUGUGAGUUUUGUGAGUUGUUGUGAAGAUAUUGUGAAUACAUUUGUAAAAAAGUGUGUGAUAUUUAUACUGCAAGAUUCCCCAGAAGACAAGUGCAACUAGUCUGCCAAUGGCGUUGCCAACACUACCACCUAGCCUGGCACUAUUCUGCAAUUCGCCACGCAUGCCUUCCACGUGUCACACCUUCAUCAUCAGAUUCCACCAAUCUCUCCAAACAAAGACAAGUGCAACCUAGUCUGACCAAUGCAUGCUAACACUACCACUAGCCUGCACCUAUUCUGCAAGAUUCUCAACGCAUGUGGCCUUCCACGUGUCACACCUUGCAUCAUUAGAUUCACAAGUCUUCUCCCGCCACUCCUAGUGGCGACUUGCCCUACCCAUUAAGGGUAGGCGCCAACUAGGGUGGCGCCUAGGUUUAAUUUAGGGCCAAAAAUGGCCAUUUGUGUAAUUUUUUUGAAAAAUGGUGUAUUUUUGAAUUUUUUUUUUAAAUUUCUGGAUAUUUAAAAAAAAAAUUCUACAACAAUCUAUAUAUAUUAUUUGGCUAUAAGACGAAUUAUGUAUCCUAUCAUAUUGGCAAUUUUCUAAAUAAAAACCCAAAUUGAUUUAACUAAAUAAAAUUUUGUCUAUGUUUUUAAGUAUGUAAUGGUGCCACCGAGAUUUAAAUCCACAACUUCACACAUAAUAAAUUCUCUCAGAUAAGACCAAUCCUAGUAUAGCUAUAAGAAAUUAUAAGAACUUAUGUAUUGUAAAUAAUAUUUUAAAAUACUUAUGUUCAAAAUCAAUUGUCACCAUAGCUUUCAUAUCACCCUACACUAAUGCCAAUCAUAUUUGCAUCCAAAAUGCUAUUCCUAAGAUAUCAAAUAUCAAAUGCCUAAAAAAUUUCACAUGAUCCUCUUUGCAAUAGUAGUUAUGAUCAAGAUUAACAUUGUAGACAUUGACCAAAAAUUGAGUCAAGAAAAGUGCAUACUCAAUUUGGUAACGUUGGCUCGCACUCCAAUUGUUGAAAGAGACCAUACCUCUGACUUUGACUUGGAUGUCGACUAUAAGUCAUUUCUUCAAUACUGUUUUAUGAGCAUGAUGGUGGAUGCAUGACCAAACCAUCUAGAAUACAUGAACAAACCAAGAAGAUGAAGGUCAUAAACUUAUCAUGGAUGGAUGAUACUGUCAUACCCUAAAUUUUACCUUGAGUUUCCACUUGCAUCCUUAUAGUAAAAUUGAUCCUUUUUGUCAUGCAUUUCAUAAGUUAAAAGCAUUUAUCAGAGUUUAGAUGAAAAGUCAUGAAUUCUGGCAUUUUAUCUGGUCUUGAUAACUCUCAUUCAGUCAUCUGUUGAUUAAGAAAUCAAAAAGCUUGAUUUCUCAAAUCUCCAUGCAUCAUUCAUUAUGUUGCAUCUUAUUUCAGAGGUUCAGAAGAUGAUAAUCAAGAGUGUUGUCAUUGUCUUAAUCUUUAUAGAUUUUGUUUGUGUUUGAGAAUCAGCAGCAAAUGGUCCAAGAGCGAUUCAUUUGCAUCUGAUUGUCUGUUUACGUUUAUUCAGUCAAUGUUUCGGUGCAUUUACAAGACGUCUGCAUUUGUAUACUUGUCACAACAUGUAUUUUGUUUUGUAUAACACUUAAAAUGUCACACAAAAUAAUUUUUCGGAUCUACAGACAGAUCGGUCGAAUCGUUUUUCAACUGUACGUCGAAUUAGAGGGCAAAAAUUUUCAAAAUUGAGCUUUCAGACAUCAGUUUUAUUGAUCUAUGGUUCACGCAAGUUUAACCUGGUGAGCUCGUUUUAAUUUUUCGACUACUUUUUCGGUCGCAUUUUAAUCAGCUUGAGCCUUUUUAUCAGUCAUUUUUUAUUUCAAAGUUUGAUCGAAACUUGUAUGUUUUCGAGAGGUUUAUUUCGCGCUAAUCAUUAUAACGCCUUCAGUUUAUUUAUUUAUUUAUUUUGAACAUUUUUUGCACCCGAUUUUAUCCAUUUUUUAAAAAAAUCUAUUUUUUAAAUUUAUUUAGCCAUUUUUUAAUUAAUAGUAUUAAUUUCAGUUAUUACGCUUUUAAAAUUUAAUUUACUUUUAUUCUAUUUAAUUUUAUUCUAGUUUAAUUAUUAAGUUUGAUUUUAGUUUUUAUGAAUUUUAAAGAUCUUUUUUUAAUUAAGAGAAAAAAUUAUUAUUAUUAAUAUCUUAUAAAGUUUCUCCACAAACCGAAUGACACAUGGCCAUUUUCUCCUCCACACAAAUGUGUCUACGCGGACACCUCUCCCUCCAUGUAUCUUCUUCCUUUCCUCAUAUACUCACACACAGAAAGAUAUUUUUCCUUCACAAAACAAAUAACACUUCACCAUCUUUAACCACUCUUAACCAACACAAACACUACUCUUCUCCAUCUCUCUCCUUCACGUGAAGCCAUCACCAUCACAACCGAACCUCCUUACCUCCACCCCGGCACCAUAAAAUAUAACCCAUAACCAACAUUGCAUCACAUAUACACAUACUCCCUUCCAAUUGCUACUUAUUAAACACAACUCGUCUGCAAAUCGCCAACCGUGUUAGAACCGCGUUCACCACCAACGUUGCACACCUCCACACGUUAUCACCACCAUUACUCCAUUCUUCUCCGACGUUUCCGCAUUGCCGAUUCGUGCUUUCUGGUAACCUCCCUUUUUUUUCACUUUAAUAUUUGUGGUUUUCUUUGUUUGUAUGGGGUUUUUAAUGUGUAAUGGAAGAGAAAUAUGGUGUUUUGUUUGUGUUACAAUGGAACUAUUAAGUUAGAGAAGAAGAGAAAGUUUUAUUUUUCUACUUGGCACUGCAUAUUCACACAGGGAAGAGAAAGAGAUUGUUGUGUUUUAUUUUCAUUCACAGUGCCACGUGUCUGCUUCUAAGUGGCCUUUGGUGUUUGUUUGUUUUUAUAAAAAGAAAACCUCUCUCAUACUGAUAAGCUAAACCACCCCAUUUUUAUUUAUUUAUUUAUUUAUUUUGUUUAAAAUUUAUUUUUUAGUUUUUGUUUUAUUAUUAUUAUUAUUAUAUUAUUUACUAUAUUACUAUUAUUAUUAUUAUUAUUAUUUAUUCGUUAUUGUUACUAAUUAUUAUUAUUUAUUAUGGAUUAUUAUUAAUCAUUAGUUUGUGUUACAAUGGAGCUAUUAAGUUAGAGAAGAAGAGAAAGUUUAAUUUUUCUACUUGGCACUGCAUAUUCACACAGGAAAGAGAAAGAGAUUGUUGUGUUUUAAAUUUUUGUUAUUCACAGUGCCACGUGUCUGCUUCUAGGUGGCCUUUGGUGUUUACUUUUUUUAUAAAAAAAAUCUCUCUCUUGCUGAUAAACUAAACCGCCCCAUUUUAUUUAUUUAUUUUGUUUAAAUUUUAUUUUUUACUUUUUGUUAAUUGUUAUUACUUUUAUUAUUAUUAUAUUAUUAUUUACUAUUUACUAUUAUUAUUAUUAUUAUUAUUAUUAUUAUUAUUAUUAUUUAUUCGUUAUUAUUACUAAUUAUUAUUAUUUAUUAUGGAUUAUUAUUAAUCAUUAUUAUUAUUGACUAUUAUUAUUAGUUAGCAUUAUUGUUAAUUCUAAUGGCUUUGGUGUUGUUUGUUUUUAUAAAAAGAAACCUCUCUCAUACUGAUAAGCUAAACCACCCCAUUUUUAUUUAUUUAUUUAUUAUUUGUUUAAAAUUUAUUUUUUAGUUUUUGUUUAUUAUUAUUAUUAUAUAUUUAUUACUAUAUUACUAUUAUUAUAAUUAUUAUUUAUUCGUUAUUGUUACUAAUUAUUAUUAUUUAUUAUGGAUUAUUAUUAAUCAUUAGUUUGUGUUACAAUGGAGCUAUUAAGUUAGAGAAGAAGAGAAAGUUUAAUUUUCUACUUGCACUGCAUAUUCACACAGGAAAGAGAAAGAGAUUGUUGUGUUUUAAAUUUUUGUUAUUCACAGUGCCACGUGUCUGCUUCUAGGUGGCCUUUGGUGUUUACUUUUUUUAUAAAAAAAUCUCUCUCUUGCUGAUAAACUAACCGCCCCAUUUUUUUAUUUAUUUUGUUUAAAUUUUAUUUUUUACUUUUGUUAAUUGUUAUUACUUUUUAUUAUUAUUAUUAUUAUUAUUUAGCUAUUACUAUAUGAUUAUUANNNNNNNNNNNNNNNNNNNNNNNNNGUUAAUUAUGUUGAUAUCAUUGUUACAUAUUAUUAUGGUUGGUUUUAUUAUUAAUUAUUAUCAUUUAUUUACUGUUAAAAUUUUACUGUUGAUUAUUAUUGUUUUCUCAUAUUAUUUAUUAUCAUUAUUUAUUAUUUAUAAUUUUUUUUAAUUAUUUAUUAUUAUUAUUGUGUUCUUAUUAUUUGUUUAUAUUGUUUAUCACUAUUAUUUAUUAUUAUGAUCAUUUUAUUUUUUAUAUUUAUUUAUUGUCUAUUUAUAUUUAAACUAUUAAGAAGGAGAUUCGAUUUUUUUGGUCUCGUCGGUUUUUCAUAGAUGCGAUCCAAUUUCGGAGUUAAAAGUUCAAUUUAACUUCAGAAAAUUUGCUUCAAUACAUAGAGUUUUGUUGAGCAACCUCAGAUAGAGUUGUUUUCUACAUAAAUACAAUUAUGAUUAUUUAACAAAGCGCUAAAUUUCUUUUAGUUUAUUUCUGAUUUUAACAUCGAGUCCCUUGGCUUUCUCUUGGGCCUUCUUACAACGAGAUUCUUUUAUUUUUGCAACUGUCUUUUAAAACUUAUAUAUUUAGUUAUUGUGUUGUAUUCCCAUUCGAUAAAAUGUAUCCCCAUUCCCAAAAUGUGUAAUAAAUUUUACUGCUUUUGUUUAUUUUUAUUGUAUUAGUUGAUUGUUAAUUCCAAAAUUAAAAUCAACCUUUUUUAGAAAAGAACACAAAACAAACACUCGAUCCAACGUCGAGUCUUUUGUCCUAAAUCAAAUCCAUAUUGAUUAUAAAGUCAAAUAUACCCCGCCACAUCCAAAUUAUUUUCAUAAGUCAGCUUCUGACACUUGAUCCAACGUCAAGUCGUCCCCUAUUUUUAAAAUCUUUUCACAAUAAAAAUGAAGAAACUGAUUAAGUUUAGACUUUCUCUGUUUCGAAUGUUAGGAUAUCUGCUGUAGAGCUCAAUGUUCAAACAUUCGUCUUCCAUAUUAAAAUACAAUAUUACUAGAAUAGGUCAUUUCUCUUAUAGAAGAAAAGAUGAUUGGGUAUCGACCUUCUCUUUCCCGAUUAUUUGGACACUGUUGUAGAGCUCUCUGUCUGAUUAAUCGUCUUCCGUUAAUGAACUUUGACCUAAUUUGCCAUACAUUUUCAUAAACAAACUUUUGGAUGAAAAAGAGUCAUUGGGCUUAGGCCUCUUCCUUUUCGAGCAUCUGAGUACUGCAGUAGAGCUCCCUGCUUAGAUGCUUGUCUCCGCUUAAAAUCAACUCAAACUCAUCAAACUUGUUUUCCGCCCUUGUGCGACUCCGAAAACAUUUUGAGAAAAGAGUAUGCAAUAUCCAUUUUGAUGCGAAACAAACAAAGACUUCGGCCUCCAAGAUGAACAACAAGUAAAUGUUUAAUCGCUCAAAUAUGAUCCAAGCAUCACUCUCUUUAAAAGCAAUCCACCUAGUAGUUCUCUUUGGGUAGAACUACGUAUGCCUUGAGUUCUUCAUAGCACCUGGAGAUACGUAGGAGAAGGAUUGUGAAAUCUUGUCAGGCACAUUAAUAUUAAAAACCUUAAUCUUUCCUUUUUUCUUUCUUUUUCCUCACUCGAUAAGUAAAAGAUCGCAAACGAUAUCACGCUAACACUCUAACACAAAAACUAACUAAAUGGGUCCAUCGAGUACGAUGGAUGUGAGGGGUGCUAAUACCUUCCCCUUGCAUAACCGACUCCCGAACCCGAUUUGGUUGCGACGACCAUUUCUCUUUUUAUUUUUUGUGGGUUUUAUCGAUAUUUCCCCUUUCCCUCUUUGGGAAUAAACAAGUUCGGUGGCGACUCUGCUUUAUUUAUAUUUCGAGCGUCCCUACGCUUGGGUAAUUUUCGCGCCGCGACAGAUACGAAGCAAUUUUACAGACUAAAAAUCUUUUUUUACAAUAGACCAAAACAUCAUUUGCAAAUAUGAAAAUAUUUAUGAAUAAAAGGUGAUUUUUUAAGAAAUGAAUGAUAUUGUCUACCUUGCUUGAUUCAUAGAGAGAAAAUGAAAGCUUUCGUUGGUGUUGAUUACGUGUUGAUUACAAGGCUUUGCAAGUGGAGAUGAAAACAUUAACAAAAGAGAUUAUGAUCAUUUUCUUCUCCAAAACAAAACUGUUUGGUUUCCUUCUUCAAAGAUUAAAAGUAACAUAGAGAUUCCUGCUCACUUAUCAAAAUCAUAAUUCACUUAAAAUUUCCCAUAGUAAGAAGACAAACACUUUAGAAAGAUACCAGGAGCAUCACGGCUACCGAAUUUCACAAAUAACUUUACAAAACCCUGUUCUACAUACCUGCAACUUCCACGAGAAUUCAGAAGAAAUCCACACAAUCAGUUUGUGAUUCACUUCCUUUAGACUUUUAUAAAUUUAGUCCAACAAGACAUAGUAGACAUAGUUUUUUUUACUAUGGUUGGAACCAAAGUGAAAAUCAAAUGGAAAAUAUAAUCAGGGUCAAAUUCCCGAAUCCCUGAAACACUUAUCUUUUAACAAUUUUUCCUUUCACAAUUGCAAUUACUAAUGAAAAAUUGAAUUUUAAACCUAUGCCGCACAACCUCACCAUAUUGGAAUAGAAAAAAUGAAUGACCAAACAUAGUCAACAAAUUAAAUUGAAAGAAGCAUAGUUCUUAAGAAAAAAAAAAUUAAAAUCAGACUUUUUUAUUACCUUAUCGAUUCCCGCUGCGUCAUCAAAGAGAAAGCCUAAUCGGUUAUUCUUCUUAUAUUUCGGUGUAGUAAGGUUACAAAACAGCCCCUUGCCACGGUAGAAUCAAGAUGAUGAAGAGAAAAUCUAGCAACUACGGCGGCCUCGAAAGGAGAGAGAUAGUUCUAUGGUUGCCUGAAUCUGAGAGUAGAUAAAAGAGUUUCAGUGACUAAAAGGGUUUCAGGUCGCGUGAAUCUGAAAGUAAGGAUAAGGAUUUGAAGGAGUCUGAGCGAAGAGAUGGUGGUUUUUCUUUUUUUAUUAAACUAAACAAUCUUUAAGAUUUUUAUUUAAUAGAAUUAAUUUUAUAUUUUUAAAACUGCUUUUUUAUGAAAAUAUAUUUAAAUAAGAGUAAUAUUCAUGUUAAUCCACUUGUCAUAAAUUAAAAAAAUAAUUGAAAUAGUCAUUAUUAAUAAAUUUUGUAUAAAAAAUCAAUAAUUUUCAAAGACUUUCCAAAAGUUUUUACAAAAAAAUUUAAAAACAAUUUUAAUUUAAUUAUAUAAAAUUUUAUUAAAAUUAUUUAAAAAUCCAACCAAAUCGUCUCAUUUAAAUAUUAGUGAGAUAUUUCAAAAAUUAGUAUAUAAAAUGAUACUAAUUUGAUUAUCCUGAUUAUUAAGAUAUGUAUAAAUCAGAAUUAUAAAUAGUCUAUAAUAAUUUUAAUUUCUUGUUUUAAUUGAUUUAAUUGUAAUUGUAUUCUCUUAUUUUAGUUUUUUAAGUGAAUUUUAUUAAUAUUAAAAAAAAAUAUUAUUAUUAUUAUUAUUAUUAUUAUUAUUUAUUCGUUAUUAUUACUAAUUAUUAUUAUUUAUUAUGGAUUAUUAUUAAUCAUUAUUAUUAUUGACUAUUAUUAUUAGUUAGCAUUAUUGUUAAUUGUUAAUUAUGUUGAUUAUCAUUGUUUACAUAUUAUUAUGGUUGGUUAUUAUUAUUAAUUAUUAUCAUUUAUUUACUGUUAAAAUUUUACUGUUGAUUAUUAUUGUUUUUCUCAUAUUAUUUAUUAUCAUUAUUUAUUAUUUAUAAUUUUUUUUAAUUAUUUAUUAUUAUUAUUGUUGUUCUUAUUAUUUGUUUAUAUUGUUUAUCACUAUUAUUUAUUAUUAUGAUCAUUUUUAUUUUUUAUAUUUAUUUAUUGUCUAUUUAUAUUUAAACUAUUAAGAAGGAGAUUCGAUUUUUUUGGUCUCGUCGGUUUUUCAUAGAUGCGAUCCAAUUUCGGAGUUAAAAGUUCAAUUUAACUUCAGAAAAUUUGCUUCAAUACAUAGAGUUUUGUUGAGCAACCUCAGAUAGAGUUGUUUUCUACAUAAAUCACAUUAUGAUUAUUUAACAAAGCGCUAAAUUUCUUUUAGUUUAAUUUCUGAUUUUAACAUCGAGUCCCUUGGCUUUCUCUUGGGCCUUCUUACAACGAGAUUCUUUUAUUUUUGCAACUGUCUUUUAAAACUUAUAUAAUUUAGUUAUUGUGUUGUAUUCCCAUUCGAUAAAAUGUAUCCCCAUUCCCAAAAAUGUGUAAUAAAUUUUACUGCUUUUGUUUAUUUUUAUUGUAUUAGUUGAUUGUUAAUUCCAAAAUUAAAAUCAACCCUUUUUUAGAAAAGAACAAAAACAAACACUCGAUCCAACGUCGAGUCUUUUGUCCUAAAUCAAAUCCAUAUUGAUUAUAAAGUCAAAUAUACCCCCGCCACAUCCAAAUUAUUUUUCAUAAGUCAGCGUUCUGACACUUGAUCCACGUCAAGUCGUCCCCUAUUUUUAAAAUCUUUUCACAAUUAAAAUGAAGAAACUGAUUAAGUUUAGACUUUCUCUGUUUCGAAUGUUAGGAUACUGCUGUAGAGCUCAAUGUUCAAACAUUCGUCUUCCAUAUUAAAAUACAUAAUUACUAGAAUAGGUCAUUUCUCUUAUGAAGAAAAAGAUUGAUUGGGUAUCGACCUUCUCUUUCCCGAUUAUUUGGACACUGUGUAGAGCUCUCUGUCUGAUUAAUCGUCUUCCGUUAAUGAACUUUGACCUAAUUUGCCAUACAUUUUCAUAAACAAACUUUUGAUGAAAGAGAGUCAUUGGGCUUAGGCCUCUUCCUUUUCGAGCAUCUGAGUACUGCAGUAGAGGCUCCCUGCUUAGAUGCUUGUCUCCGCUUAAAAUCAACUCAAACUCAUCAAACUUGUUUCCGCCCUUGUGCGACUCCAAACAUUUUGAGAAAAGAGUAUGCAAUAUCCAUUUUGAUGCGAAACAAACAAAGACUUCGGCCUCCAAGACGUGAACAACAAGUAAAUGUUUAAUCGCUGCAAAAUGAUCCAAGCAUCACUCUCUUUAAAAGCAAUCCACCUAGUAGUUCUCUUUGGGUAGAACUACGUAUGCCUUGAGUUCUUCAUAGCACCUGGAGAUACGUAGGAGAGGAUUGUGAAAUCUUGUCAGGCACAUUAAUAUUAAAAACCUUAAUCUUUCCUUUUUUCUUUCUUUUCCUCACUCGAUAAGUAAAAGAUCGCAAACAGUAUCACGCUAACACUCUAAACACAAACUAACUAAAUGGGUCCCAUCGAGUACGAUGGAUGUGAGGGGUGCUAAUACCUUCCCCUUGCAUAACCGACUCCCGAACCCGAUUUGGUUGCGACGACCAUUUCUUUUUUAUUUUUGUGGGUUUUAUCGAUAUUUCCCCUUUCCCUCUUUGGGAAUAAACAAAGUUCGGUGGCGACUCUGCUUUAUUUAUAUUUCGAGCGUUCCCUACGCUUGGGUAAUUUUCGCGCCGCGACAGAUACGAAGCAAUUUUACAGACUAAAAAUCUUUUUUUACAAUAGACCCAAAACAUCAUUUGCAAAUAUGAAAAUAUUUAUGAAUAAAAGGUGAUUUUUUUAAGAAAUGAAUGAUAUUGUCUACCUUGCUUGAUUCAUAGAGAGAAAAUGAAAGCUUCUCGUUGGUGUUGAUUACGUGUUGAUUACAAGGCUUUGCAAGUGGAGAUGAAAACAUUAACAAAAGAGAAUUAUGAUCAUUUUCUUCUCCAAAACAAAACUUGUUUGGUUUCCUUCUUCAAAGAUUAAAAGUAACAUAGAGAUUCCUGCUCAACUUAUCAAAAUCAUAAUUCACUUAAAAUUUCCCAUAGUAAGAAGACAAAACACUUUAGAAAGAUACCAGGAGCAUCACGGCUACCGAAUUUCACAAAUAACUUUACAAAACCCUGUUCUACAUACCUGCAACUUCCACGAGAAUUCAGAAGAAAUCCACCACAAUCAGUUUGUGAUUCACUUCCUUUAGACUUUUAUAAAUUUAGUCCAACAAGACAUAGUAGACAUAGUUUUUUUUUACUAUGGUUGGAAACCAAAGUGAAAAUCAAAUGGAAAAUAUAAUCAGGGUCAAAUUCCCGAAUCCCUGAACACUUAUCUUUUAACAAUUUUUCCUUUCACAAUUGCAAUUACUAAUGAAAAAUUGAAUUUUAAACCUAUGCCCACAACCUCACCAUAUUGGAAUAGAAAAAAUGAAUGACCAAACAUAGUCAACAAAUUAAAUUGAAAGAAGCAUAGUUCUUAAAGAAAAAAACAAUUAAAAUCAGACUUUUUUAUUACCUUUAUCGAUUCCCGCUGCGUCAUCAAAGAGAAAGCCUAAUCGGUUAUCUUCCCUUAUAUUUCGGUGUAGUAAGGUUACAAAACAGCCCCUUGCACGGUAGAAUCAAGAUGAUGAAGAGAAAAUCUAGCAACUACGGCGGCCUCGAAAGGAGAGAGAUAGUUUCAUGGUUGCCUGAAUCUGAGAGUAGAUAAAAGAGUUUCAGUGACUAAAAGGGUUUCAGGGUCGCGUGAAUCUGAAAGUAAGGAUAAGGAUUUGAAGGAGUCUGAGCGAAGAGAUGGUGGUUUUUCUUUUAUUAUUAAACUAAACAAUCUUUAAGAUUUUUAUUUAAUAGAAUUAAUUUUAUAUUUUUAAAACUGCUUUUUUAUGAAAAUAUAUUUUAAAUAAGAGUAAUAUUCAUGUUAAUCCACUUGUCAUAAAUUAAAAAAAAUAAUUGAAAUAGUCAUUAUUAAUAAAUUUUGUAUAAAAAAUCAAUAAUUUUUCAAAGACUUUCCAAAAACGUUUUUACAAAAAAAUUUAAAAACAAUUUUAAUUUAAUUAUAUAAAAUUUUAUUAAAAUAUAUUUAAACAUAAUCCAACCAAAUCGUCUCAUUUAAAUAUUAGUGAGAUAUUUCAAAAAUUAGUAUAUAAAAUGAUACUAAUUUGAUUAUCCUGAUUAUAUAAGAUAUGUAUAAAUCAGAAUUAUAAAUAGUCUAUAAAUAAUUAUUAAUUUCUUGUUUUAAUUGAUUUAAUUGUAAUUUGUAUUCUCUUAUUUUAGUUUUUUAAGUGAAAUUUUAUUAAAAUAUUAAAAAAAAAAGAGGUUUGAAUGAUUUUCAUACGGUAAUCUUUUUAUAUUGAAAAAUUAUUUUUAUAUUCAUAAAAAAAUAAAAUUAUUAUAAAAUAGCAUGGUUACGUAAAGUUUAUAACUAUUUAUUUUUCGAUAAAAAAUAGUACCUUUUGAUAUAAUUUAUAACCAAUCUAAAAUUGAAAUAAAAAUAAACAAAUAGAAUAAAGAUAGAAAAAGAGGAAAAAUAUAUAUGUUAAUUAAUAAAAUUAAUGAGAUAAGAACAUAUAUAAAACAAUUUGCUGAUUCUAAUAUGUUUUCUUUAAGAUGCGAUUUUAUAUGUGGAAUUUAUAACCUACGCUAUUUACAUGUGGCCUAUUACCAAAACUGUAGCCUUUUGUAAUAAAUAAGAAAAGACAACAAGUCUAAAGCGUAGCCAAAAUAUCUAAGUUGCAUAUUCUUUAUAUAGGCGACGGUUGUGUAAUACCCACACUAAAAAUAGUGUGGCUUAUAGGGAACAUGGGACAAUAUUAUUUUCAAAAAUCUAUAAAUUUGACAACGCUUUGUAAAGCGCGGCCUAUAACGCUUUAGACUGCGGUUUUAUAGCCGUUGCCUAUUCUUCCGUUGCCUAAAGUAAAAAAUAUUGUAGUGUGUCUGACUACUUUUUUCCCCAUAUUUAAGUGAGAUCCUAUGCAUACAUAUGGAUGGGCUAAAAUCACGAGUGUCAGUCAAGGUCCAUCGAAUUCCCUUCUUAUAUUCCUGCUCAAGUUGAUGUUUUGAUGAAUAAUAUAAAUCCUCAGGAAGUGGUUUAAGCUCUAAAGAAGGUGGUUGUUCAAUGGACAAUAUGUUUGGGGAAGUCGGAAUGUCAAGAGCUUCAGCUACAUAAACAACUCCAUUUUCACUGUCAGCCUGCAAGGCAUUAUCAAUCUCAUCACAAACAACACAAAGGUUAGUGUUAAUAGAAUCAUCACAUAAGUAAAUAUCAUCAAAAGCAGAUAAAGUUGGAAAAUCAUCUGAAAACAAAUAAGAAUAAGCUUCAUCAACAAUUUCAGAAAGCAACUUUAUUUAAAAAACAUAAUGCUCUUCCACGGGAUGUUUCAUAGCAUUAAAAAUGUUGAAUUUUGCGAUAAUUUCCCCAGAUUCCAUGGACAUGGUUCCAUGUCAACAUCAACUUUUGUUUUAGCUGUUUUCAUGAACGGUUUGCCCAAAAUGAUUGGUGAUCUACUUGAAUUUAUUUCGACAUACAUGUCCAGAAUGUAAAAAUCUGCAGGAAAAAUCAAGUCAUUAACUUGCACGAGGACAUCCUCCACUACUAUGACAGGGUGGGCAUUGCUUUUGUUUGCCAGUUGAAUGAUUAAACUUGUAUGCUACAAAGGACUAAGAUUAAGAUUAUUAUACACAGAAUUCUGCAUAACAUUAAUGCCUGCUCCUAAAUAAAGCAUGCAAUUUUCGAAUUUAUUAUCCCUAAUGGUACAAGGAAUAAAGAAAGUUCCUGGAUCCUUGGACUUUUGUGGCAUGACCUGAUUGAGGGUUGAACCAGUAGGUGAAGGUUUAGCCUGAAUAAGGGUCGAAACAUUUCAUUGUCUCGUUUCCGAUAAGCCUCGUCUUGUGUGUGGAUAAAUCUUUCUGAAAUUUUGCAUAUUUCCGAACCUGGUUAAUCAUAUAAAGUAGUGGAAUAUUCACUGCCACCUUUCUAAAUACAUCUAAAAUCUCUCUCUCUCUCUCUCUCUCUCUCUCUCUCUCUCUCACACACACACACACACACACACACACACACACACACACACACACACACACACACUCUUUGUCUUCCUCAUCAAUUUUCUUAUUUUUCAGAACUCUUUGUGGAAAAGAGAUUGGUGGUACAUACUCUUUUUCAGCCUCAACAACAACAGAAGGUUUAGGUGCGACAAUAACAAUUUUUUUAUUUUUUUUAAGGCUGGUUUUGUAACUUUUUUGGAUCUCAAGGAAAUUACACUUACAUUAGGUCCUUUUGGAUUCACUACUAUUUGGGCAAGUAAUUGGUUCGAUCCUUGAGCUUGCUGCAUGACAUUCAUUGAAGUGGCAAGCUUGCCAAUUUGUGUUUGCAAAGUUUGAAUACUAGAAUCAGGUCGUUGUUGAAACUGAAGAUUAUUCACAACCAUUUACUUGACAAGAUCCCUAAGUGAAGGUUCAGAAGGUGCAAAGGUGGUUACUUGGAAGGGUUCUGUGGAGGUGGCAAGGGUAACAUCAACUGUUGUUAGCUAGGUUGUGAAUUCCCGUAUCGAAGGUUUGGGUGGUUUCUCCAGUUGGGAUGACAUUUGUUAGUGGACAGGUCAGGAAUGUUGUACCUAUUCUGAUUGUUCCCUUGAUUGUAAAAGGCUGAUGUAUAUGCUUGAGGCAACUCAAUGACCAACUCAUAUUGUAGAAGAGGACAUGUAUCGAUCAGGUGUUUGAUAUAAGUACAAAUACCAUACAACUUUGAUGUUUGGGAUUUACUUAUUGUCAACAGUUUCACUAAAGAGGUAAGUUCAUCAAUUCUUGUUUCUAGAGCUUUGUUGAAAGAAGAAACCUGAAUCUCAUUCACACCUUUUACUUGGACCAAAGAAUUAUCCCUAGUUGUGAAAUGUUGGGAGUUGAGUGACAUGUUCUCAAUCAAGGAUUUAUCAACAAGUGUUCAACCACUAGCAACAUCUAAAAUGCUUAUGUCCAUUGGUAGUAAUCCCUCAUAAAAGUAUUGGAUAAGUAACUGCUUGGUAAUCUGGUCUUGAGGACAGUUGGACACUAACUAUUUGAAUCUCCCCUAGUAUUAUGCCAAUGAUUCAUAUCCCUAUCUAAUACCACAUAUAUCCUUUAUGAUUGAUGCAGUUCGGAGGAAGGAAAGUAUCUUUCUAGGAAGACUUUCUUUAAAUCAUUGCAGCUUGUGAUAGAGUUAGGAUCAAGAUAAUACAACCAAUCUUUUGCAACUCCUUGAAGUGAGAACAGGAAUGCUCUGAGCUUGAUAUGAUCCUCUGUGAUUCCUUUAGGUCUCAAAGGUGUUGAGCACACAACCUGGAAUUCCUUCAGAUGUUUAUACGGAUCCUCACCUGCAAGACCAUUAAACCUUGGCAACAAGUGUAUUAAACCAUAUUUCAAUUCAAAAGGUACAUCAACAGUAGGAUAUUCAAUACAUAAAGCAUUAUAAUUCACAUUAGGGGCAACAAGUUGUCUAAGAGUUCUUUGAUUAACCAUGUUAAACUAAAUAGAAAACAUAUUAACAAAGAAUGAGAAAACACAUAACUAAUUCAGUAAUGCAACAACGAUUAGGGAAAUACCGACAAUGUCUAUAAUAAGCAAAAACAAAUGGACGACAAAUAAAACGAUUAAAAUAAGAUGCAAAAAAUAAAAAACAUGAAAUGUAAUCUAAUUAAGUCAAAUAAGAAUUUUGAGAUUUUUUUUCGGAUUUUUCUAAAACCAUGAAAACAGAAAACAAAUCAUAAAAAUAGAAAAAUAAGGAAUUUCAGAUUUUUAGGGGCGUCCUCUAUUUAAAUAGAGGUUUUUGAUACUUGAUUUUUUUCUAAUGAAUAGGAAAAGAAUCAAACGAAUCUGAGAAGAAUUUCCUUAAAACCGAUUUUUUAAUGCUAAAAUGCGAAAAUUCCAGAACAUAAGAACGUUGAGGCAAGAAUGCUGAAACACAACACCUAUGACUAUAAUAAUGGUUAAAAUCUACAAGAGUCCCCAACAACUGUGUCAAUUUGAUUCGUUGUCGCACACAGGUCAAAAACUAGUAAUUUAGAACGGUAGUCUAGGGAAGUGACACUCGAGUAUCGUAUCGCAAGGACUCUUGGAAAAUUAACCAAAUAAGGAAACAAAAUAGGGGGUUUUCGUUUUAAUUUAGAAAAAGUGAUUAUAAAAAGUGAUUAUGAAAUAAGUUGAUCUAAUGAUUUGGUUUCCUAACUUAUCAUUGGUUAAUAUAAUUUUCAUGCCCUAAGCGAAUUCUAAUUCAUUUUCGAUUACAACAACAAUAACAAGCGCAAUAAUACUAAUAUAUGAUAUAUGUUCCUAAUUUUGAAAUUAAGCAAACAAAUUAUGAAUUAAGCAAACGGGUUAAGCACAUGUGAAUUAAGCAAACACGAUUGUGGAACAUAUAUCAAUAGAAAUUAAUCAACACAUAUUUUAUAGAAUUUAUAUAAAUCAUACAAGAUAUAGAACAAAAUGUUGAAAGGGAAAAGAUAUUUUAUUGAAAAUUAAGAAACCUCAAAGUAUUGGCGAAAACCGAUUACAACAAAUCAACCUUGUGAACUUUAGUUCUCCAUGAAAUCGUCUAACAAAUAUUGUAUCGUGAAAAUUCAGAAUAUGAUUGUUGUAGCAGCGAAAAUCCUUAUAAAACAAAAGGGAAAUUCUGGCACUUAUGGGACCCGACCCGAAAAUUACAAAAAU